RNAcentral lists this ribosomal RNA (377 nucleotides) under uncultured bacterium. RNAcentral describes it as "bacterial SSU rRNA". It matches the Rfam family "Bacterial small subunit ribosomal RNA", at positions 523 to 898 of the family's 1533-position model. The record is from RNAcentral.
AUACGUAGGUGGCGAGCGUUGUCCGGAAUUACUGGGUGUAAAGGGCGUGUAGGCGGGGCGUCAAGUCAGGUGUGAAACUCCGAGGCUUAACUUCGGGUGUGCAUCUGAAACUGAUGUUCUUGAGUGUCGGAGAGGAAAGUGGAAUUCCCAGUGUAGCGGUGAAAUGCGUAGAGAUUGGGAGGAACACCAGUGGCGAAGGCGGCUUUCUGGACGAUAACUGACGCUGAGGCGCGAAAGCGUGGGUAGCAAACAGGAUUAGAUACCCUGGUAGUCCACGCCGUAAACGAUGGAUACUAGGUGUAGGAGGUAUCGACCCCUUCUGUGCCGGAGUUAACACAAUAAGUAUCCCACCUGGGGAGUACGGCCGCAAGGCUGAA